RNAcentral lists this ribosomal RNA (26 nucleotides) under Ascaris suum (pig roundworm). RNAcentral describes it as "partial 5.8S ribosomal RNA". Lineage: Eukaryota; Metazoa; Nematoda; Chromadorea; Rhabditida; Ascarididae. The record is from RNAcentral.
CAAAUCUUAGCGGUGGAUCACUCGGU